RNAcentral lists this ribosomal RNA (565 nucleotides) under uncultured bacterium. Its description in RNAcentral is "bacterial SSU rRNA". It matches the Rfam family "Bacterial small subunit ribosomal RNA", at positions 126 to 705 of the family's 1533-position model. The record is from RNAcentral.
UUGCCUCUUGGUCUGGGACAACUGUUGGAAACGACAGCUAAUACCGGAUAUUAUGAGAUUCUCGCAUGGGAAACUUAUGAAAGCUAUAUGCGCCAAGAGAGAGCCUUGCGUUCCAUUAGCUAGUUGGUGGGGUAACGGCCCACCAAGGCGACGAUGGAUAGCCGGCCUGAGAGGGUGAACGGCCACAAGGGGACUGAGACACGGCCCUUACUCCUACGGGAGGCAGCAGUGGGGAAUAUUGGACAAUGGGCCACAAGCCUGAUCCAGCAAUUCUGUGUGCACGAUGAAGGUCUUCGGAUUGUAAAGUGCUUUCAGUUGGGAAGAAGAAAGUGACGGUACCAACAGAAGAAGCGACGGCUAAAUACGUGCCAGCAGCCGCGGUAAUACGUAUGUCGCAAGCGUUAUCCGGAUUUAUUGGGCGUAAAGCGCGUCUAGGCGGAAAAAUAAGUCUGAUGUUAAAAUGCGGGGCUCAACUCCGUAUUGCGUUGGAAACUGUUUUUCUAGAGUACUGGAGAGGUGGGCGGAACUACAAGUGUAGAGGUGAAAUUCGUAGAUAUUUGUAGGA